CGCGUAGGCGGACUUUCAAGUCGGAUGUGAAAACUGGUGGCUCAACUGCCAGCCUGCAUCCGAUACUGUUGGUCUUGAGUACAUGAGAGGAAAGCGGAAUUCCAGGUGUAGCGGUGGAAUGCGUAGAUAUCUGGAAGAACACCAGUAGCGAAGGCGGCUUUCUGGCGUGAUACUGACGCUGAAGCGCGAAGGCUAGGGGAGCAAACAGGAUUAGAUACCCUGGUAGUCC
This 229-nucleotide ribosomal RNA is filed under the name uncultured bacterium. RNAcentral's name for it is "partial 16S ribosomal RNA". It matches the Rfam family "Bacterial small subunit ribosomal RNA", at positions 568 to 796 of the family's 1533-position model. The record is from RNAcentral.